CAGACAUUCAGUAGCUGUGUAACCUAGGAAUUAGCACAGUGCCUGGAGCACAGUGAUAAUAAAUGUUCCUUGAUUGAUCUACAUUGGCAUAAGGUCCUCGAAUCUAGGAACUGAGGUGGGGGUGGAGAUAUAAUAUGCACGCAGAUAAGUAAAUACAAAUCAGCUGCUAUCACUUCCUAUUUUUGAGAGGAUCAGAAUCAGAAAAGGCUUCAAAGGAAGAAGAGCACCAGGGCUGAGCCUAAAAUGCAGAUAAGGAUCCUGAGAGGAAGACAUGCACUUUACAAUGCCCAGAGGAGGGCUUCUGCAGAUACACUGAAACAGGAGACAGAAUGACAGUUUGGGGCUGAAUUUCGAUGUCUUGCAAGGUUAGAGAAAGAGCAAAGGCACAAGAGGAACAGACUUUUCCAGCAUAUCCAGACCCUUCAGGAAAUCACAGAGUGAAAGGGCGGACAAUGAAAAGCGCAGGAGAGCUGAAAGGGUGGGUAAGAGCACUGAAGCACCUGCAGCCUUCAUCGGGCUACCUGGAUGGUUCUAAAAGCCAGAAGAGGGACAGAAGUCUACAGUAAUGGUUAAUACACUAAUAGAGAGGUCCAUCCUUCAAGUACAAAGGCAGGAAAGAUGAGGAGAGUGCUCUACUUUUACUGAGGUUUAAUUGGAUGUGUAGUUUAGGGUUUUUUUUUUUGUAUUCACAGUCCAUAUUCUUGUUAGAUAAGACAUAAUGUCAGUUCAGUACCAAUGGAUGGAAGUUACAAGAAGACUGCCUGAUUUCAGCCUGAUGCAUGGAAGGACUUCCUAACAAUUAGAGCUGGUUGAAAUGUUAUCCUUCGAAGUAUCUAGUGCUUGUCAAUGAAAGCAGCUCCUUGGCCCUGGAGGGCUUCAGGCAAAGGAUGGAUGAUCACUUAUCCAGGAUGUGGGAGAAG
This is a non-coding RNA of Phascolarctos cinereus (koala), 920 nucleotides long. NCBI's taxonomy places the organism in Eukaryota, Metazoa, Chordata, Mammalia, Diprotodontia, Phascolarctidae. The record is from RefSeq and is a predicted model, not a curated record.